This is a long non-coding RNA of Cryptotermes secundus, 1745 nucleotides long. RefSeq lists it as uncharacterized. The record is from RefSeq and is a predicted model, not a curated record. NCBI's taxonomy places the organism in Eukaryota, Metazoa, Arthropoda, Insecta, Blattodea, Kalotermitidae. The transcript is spliced from 2 exons.
GAAGGAAAACAAUUGAAUGUGCUUUUGGCAGGGCCUGCGAGAAGUUCGCUGUUUUGAAUGGUCCUAUCCGCAUCCGGGAUCCAAAGUACGUGGACUUUGUCAUCAAAGCUGUCUUCGUUCUUCACAACUAUGUACGAAAACGAGAGGGGCUUCAGUACAUGCCAACUGAUGAAUUCACGGGAAGUGAAGUUGAUAGCUGUGUGGUACAACCUCAACAACAAAACAUGACAAUACACAUGAAUUCUCCUGCAACGGCUCUGAGGAGUUAUUUGGCAAACUAUUUUCUUACCCCACUAGCAUCUCUACCCUGGCAGUGGAAAUUUUGUUUAUGAACCUACAAUAUAACCUAACUAAUUUUGAAAUCGAAAACUCUCCACAGUUUAAUUAUAACCUCAUAAUCACUUAAUUAUGUAUAUACUUACAUAAUUAAUUAAUAAUUAAUUCAUAUUCGAACCGUUUUUUAAUAUUUCCACUCUGCGACAUUAAAAAAUAAAAUAGUACAUACCUGUCAUAUUCACUCUUUUUCCAACUUCAUCCCAUGUCUUUUCACUUUCAUCUUUCUUAGAAUAUCCAGGAAGCGUAAAAUUGUACAAAACAGGAUGUUUUUCAACUUCUCCUACAAAUAACGGAUUCAGCUGUUGUUCGCACAUCUUGAAGAAAGUCACCAAGAAACUGAGCUACUUCAGUCCCUAGUGACUCGGCCGCCGAGUUGCCUGGAACUUAUUACUAACGGGUUGGUAACGCGUUAGUGAUCAGUAGCGCUGUGUGUGGUGUUCCAUUCAGUCACAUUUGAAGUGACUGAUUGCGGACUCGUUAGUAACUUGCGUCACUAAUCAGGUUAUUUUGAGUAGCUCCGUGUGUAGACGGCCUAACUUCCGAGAAACUAUUUCACCUGAAGAACGUCUAGCCGUAACUCUAAGGGACCGGGACGCUCGGUUUCAUGGCUGCUCCUAGAACUGCCACCGGUAUUUGGCGAGUUUGAGGCCGCUGCUCCUGUGUUGUGCUGCCUCAGAGCGCCGCCGCGAAGGAGACACCAGGAGUAAUGAUAUUUGAGGAGCACACCCUUCCCGUUUUGGGUUUGGGUGCUCUGUGAUUUUUUCUGCAGUUCCUCCUCCGCGUGUGUUCAGCCCCGAUAGUUGGCGGGAUGGGGCUUCUCUCCCUCCUUCAACUGGCAAUUGCAACAAGCUGGAGUGGCUGCAGAGUUCUCUUUCUCUGGACACUGUGCAGGUGGCCACCCCCACACCACAUGCAACGGGGAGGUUGCUUACAGUUACCCCAUACGUGGCCAAACUGUUGGCAGUUGUGACACUGCGUAAGGCCACUCUGCGUUCUAUAUGCCUCAGCCCGGGUGGAAAUGUGGCAAAGGCUUUGCAGUUUGAAAAUUUCCUGAAAUUUGUUGUUCGGGGUAAGGUUAUAAGUAGGGCUCGGAUUUCUAUGACCUAAAAACUUUGAAAAUAUGCAUGCAUUUAUGCCCUAAAAAUGGCAAAAUAUGACAGAAUGGCCCACAAAAAAUAAGUAAAUAUUUAACAAAAAUUCCUAAGAAUGGCAAUUUAUUAAGAAGUUUACAAAGUUAUUUUGUCCUGAAUAAAUAUCUUCAAGCUCUGAAGCAUCAAUCACAGCACAUUGCUGACCGCAUAAAGAGAAAAGCUGAAUGGCGUUUUAUUGAAAAGUGUACAAAGUUAUUUUUUUCUGAAUAAAUGUCUUUAAGCCGUGAAGCAUCCAUCACAACACAAUGCUGACCCUGU